This 484-nucleotide ribosomal RNA is filed under the name uncultured bacterium. Its description in RNAcentral is "partial 16S ribosomal RNA". It matches the Rfam family "Bacterial small subunit ribosomal RNA", at positions 30 to 507 of the family's 1533-position model. The record is from RNAcentral.
AUUGAACGCUGGCGGCAGGCCUAACACAUGCAAGUCGAUCGUAAGAAGCGUGCUUGCUUCUGGAUUCGGGGGCCGACUGGCGGUUAAUUCCUAAAAAUCUCCCUGUUUUUUUUUGCUUACGUCCUUACUCGGGCUCUCUUACCGCAUACGUCCUGAGGUAGUACGUGUGGUAUCUUCGUAUCUUCCGCUAUCACUUGAUCUUAGGUCGGAUUAGCUAGUUGGCUGGGUAACGGCCUACCAAGGCUACGAUCCGUAACUGGUCUGAGAGGAUGAUCAGUCACACUGGAACUGAGAAACGGUCCAGACUCCUAAGGGAGGCAGCAGUGGGGAAUAAUGGACAAUGGGCGAAAGACUGAUAAAGCCAUACCGCGUGUGUGAAGAAGGUCUUCGGAUUGUAAAGCACUUUAGGUUGGGAGGAAGGGCAGUAAGUUAAUACCCUGCUGUUUUGACGUUACCAAAAGAAUAAGCACCGGCUAACUUCGUG